Molecule: long non-coding RNA, 1145 nt
Organism: Ictalurus punctatus (channel catfish)
Lineage: Eukaryota; Metazoa; Chordata; Actinopteri; Siluriformes; Ictaluridae
Source: Ensembl
ACGGUCAUCUCUAAGUUUAUUUACGAUCGUAAAUAAUGGUUCGCUUGCUUGAGUUCUCAAUACAUGAUUCAUACAGAUACAGCAUUCAACUGGAAAGGAGCUCACGUACAUAUCUACUGUUGGUUACACUGAGAUACAGCAAUAUUGCUCAAGUGCACAAGCUUCGCUUACUCUACGGACAACGCUCGUGAACCAAGGGGUCGGAAACGGUCUGCGUAAACGCUAGUUUUGGCAAAUCGCUCUUGAUGAAGCGUAGCAUAGUGGCAGAAUUACAUACUAUAAAAACUAUGUAAGCUGGCGAAGAGGAAAGACUAAAACGUAAAAAGUUUAAAACAAAUUCAAUACGAGACUAAACACUGAAGGAUUUACUUGACCAUUUCAAUAAAAGGAUAUAGUUACAUCUGCAGAACCAAAUCAAUUGUACACUUACAUUUGGAUUUUUGGACUGAGCUUUAACUUACUGCUACUUGUGUUUGUGUGUGUGUUUGCAUAUUAGGUUUAAAAGAAAGGGGAAAAACAUGUGUUCCUUAUUCCCAUGGCUGUGAAAUAUCCAGAUGAAUUCUUCUAAACCCUGUUUGAACUGCAUCAAAAAUGCCCAAUGCUUUUACUAAAAGGAGCUCCUUUUUAUAGUCAUAUAUUAACGAACUGGCCGUCUCGACUGUGAUAUUCGGCGCGUUAAAUUUUUUUCGGAAAUGAUUUGGCACAUCCCAACGAAUAUAUCCUCCUUUAACCUUUAACAGAAAGUACUAGAUUGGGCGAAAUCUGUGAGCGCAUCUGCGUAAUAAACUGAGCAGAUUUUGUGACUAACAUAUCACAUAUAGGGAGCUGAUUUAUUACUCAAACGCAGUCCAUGCCUUGGAGAGCACCCAGCUGAUCCUCCUAUCGAAGUGUGAAUGUGUGACCUGGUUUUCUGGGGGCGUCGUUGCUUUCACGACUAGCGUGGAGUGCUCUGAUCAGACUGAAGCAGUCGGACAAUGGAGGGAUCGCUCUUGGCACCUUUGAUGAACUCCUCCAGGGAAAGCCUUCCUGCAAUAUGAAAGAGACAAAAGGUCAGUGAUGUCAUAACCAGGCAUAUUUCCAUGAUUAGGCGAAUUAUAUCGGAAUGUUAUUUCACAAUACGUGUAUAAAACAAAAAGCCGAGAAGG